Molecule: ribosomal RNA, 460 nt
Filed under: uncultured bacterium
Lineage: Bacteria
Description: partial 16S ribosomal RNA
Rfam family: Bacterial small subunit ribosomal RNA
Source: RNAcentral
CCUACGGGAGGCAGCAGUGAGGAAUAUUGGUCAAUGGACGCAAGUCUGAACCAGCCAUGCCGCGUGCAGGAAGACGGCUCUGUGAGUUGUAAACUGCUUUUGUCAGGGGACAAACGCAGAUACGCGUACCCGUCUGAAAGUAUCUUAAGAAUAAGGAUCGGCUAACUCCGUGCCAGCAGCCGCGGUAAUACGGAGGAUUCAAGCGUUAUCCGGAUUUAUUGGGUUUAAAGGGUGCGUAGGCGGUCGGAUAAGUUAGAGGUGAAAUCCCGGGGCUCAACUUCGGAAUUGCCUUUGAUACUGGUCGGCUAGAGAGUAGUUGCGGUAGGCGGAAUGUAUGGUGUAGCGGUGAAAUGCUUAGAGAUCAUACAGAACACCGAUUGCGAAGGCAGCUUACCAAGCUACUUCUGACGUUGAGGCACGAAAGCGUGGGGAGCAAACAGGAUUAGAUACCCGGGUAGUC